GUGGAUAUAGCUCAGUGGUAGAGCGUGUGCUUAGCAUGCAUGAGGUCCCAGGUUCAAUUCCCAGUACCUUCA
Molecule: transfer RNA, 72 nt
Filed under: Camelus dromedarius (Arabian camel)
Lineage: Eukaryota; Metazoa; Chordata; Mammalia; Artiodactyla; Camelidae
Also listed under: 1 other name
Rfam family: tRNA
About the family: Transfer RNA (tRNA) molecules are approximately 80 nucleotides in length. Their secondary structure includes four short double-helical elements and three loops (D, anti-codon, and T loops). Further hydrogen bonds mediate the characteristic L-shaped molecular structure. tRNAs have two regions of fundamental functional importance: the anti-codon, which is responsible for specific mRNA codon recognition, and the 3' end, to which the tRNAs corresponding amino acid is attached (by aminoacyl-tRNA synthetases). tRNAs cope with the degeneracy of the genetic code in two manners: having more than one tRNA (with a specific anti-codon) for a particular amino acid; and 'wobble' base-pairing, i.e. permitting non-standard base-pairing at the 3rd anti-codon position.
Source: Rfam by way of RNAcentral